AUAAAUACAAUUCGCUGUCCAGACCUUCUGGAAAGUUGAGUAUCCUCAGAAAUGGGGCAGUCAAGGGGGCAAUUUGCAAGAUACCGACGCGCUGGUUCCUUGGCUCCAGGACACUUAAUCGUUUUACAGGCUUGGUGUAAAGUUGUGUUUAUCUGCGAUGGUGCCAGCAAUGUGGAAAGCCCUGUGCAGACGAGGCUUUUGCGAUGACAGCUGGUUUCAGCAUCGCUCUCAAGCAGACGCAAGGGACAAGGCUCUGGACAUGGGAGGCGCACGUUUGCAGAUGAGCUGCUACUCAUAACAGCAAGAAACAUUUUCUUUCCCAAGCAGGGCAGGAAGCAUGCGUAAUGAGGAGCAGGGGAGGACAACUGGGCUCCUACAGCUGGUCAGGCAAAUUUGUGUGAAUUAUGUGGCAGUUUGCCAAAAGUGGACCAACGAGGCGGGGGAAAGAAAAGGAAAAAAAAACCUCGAAGGUGGCCAGUCCCUGGGUUGGAUCUGUCCGAUUUCAAACCUGCCAUGGAGGAGACCAGCGGGUCAGUGUUUCGGAGAGGCACCAAAGCAGUGGGCAAGUCGCUGCCAUUCGACAUGUUUCGGGAGCCCUUCUGCUGCUCAUCCUUAUGCAGCUCCCCUCUCCCCCUCCCCAGAGCUUUUUCACUUAACGCCUGUGCAUCGUGGGGAGCAGGGGCACCGCCAAAUGCAGCAAAGCCUUCUGGAGAGGCUCUCCGACAGAGAAACGCUGUUUGCCAUAGACGGCAGUUAUGGGCGGUGGUGUCCAGUGGAAACAGCCCCGCACCGUCUCCCUGGCCUCCUCAUCGCCUCGCAGCGGCAUCGCAACCCCUCAGGCCCUGAAAGCUCGCGGGAGCCAGCG
Molecule: long non-coding RNA, 865 nt
Filed under: Apteryx owenii (little spotted kiwi)
Lineage: Eukaryota; Metazoa; Chordata; Aves; Apterygiformes; Apterygidae
Description: lncRNA (ENSAOWG00000000916.1)
Source: RNAcentral